GAUGAACGCUGGCGGCGUGCUUAACACAUGCAAGUCGAACGAUGAAGCCCAGCUUGCUGGGUGGAUUAGUGGCGAACGGGUGAGUAACACGUGAGUAACCUGCCCUUAACUCUGGGAUAAGCCUGGGAAACUGGGUCUAAUACCGGAUAGGAGCGCCUACCGCAUGGUGGGUGUUGGAAAGAUUUAUCGGUUUUGGAUGGACUCGCGGCCUAUCAGCUUGUUUGUGAGGUAUUGGCUCACCAAGGCGACGACGGGUAGCCGGCCUGAGAGGGUGACCGGCCACACUGGGACUGAGAGACGGCACAGACUCCUACGGGAGGCAGCAGUGGGGAAUAUUGCACAAUGGGCGAAAGCCUGAUGCAGCGACGCCGCGUGAGGGAUGACGGCCUUCGGGUUGUAAACCUCUUUCAGUAGGGAAGAAGCGAAAGUGACGGUACCUGCAGAAGAAGCACCGGCUAACUACGUG
Molecule: ribosomal RNA, 466 nt
Filed under: uncultured bacterium
Lineage: Bacteria
Description: partial 16S ribosomal RNA
Rfam family: Bacterial small subunit ribosomal RNA
Source: RNAcentral